GAGAGGAGAAAGUAGAAAGAUGGGGAGGAGUAGAAAGAGUGUGAUUGGGAGGGAGAAAGAAGAGACAAAGGUUUGAAAGGGCCUGAAGGGAAGAAUGAAAGAUAAGCUGAGGAUGGAGAGGAGAAAUGAGAUUCCAUAACCUGUUGACUUUAGGUGACUGAGAAAUUCCAGAGGGAUCUAACAAAGACAGAGGAUUUAUCAUCUGCUGAAUGCCUGAGAGAUCUCCAAGCUUCCUCACCUGUAAAGAGAAGAGAGAGAAGGAGAAGACCACUUACCUUUGUCAUCUUCCAUCGCUGUUCUCCUGAGCGUACCAUCUGUUCUGCUUCCCGUGAUCCCGAAGGAACAUCAAGGGACUCCUUGGACCCCCUCUCCAAAGGCUUGUCAUUAGCCAGAGGAUUGAGGUCCCAAGCACCU
This is a long non-coding RNA of Mauremys mutica (yellowpond turtle), 414 nucleotides long. RefSeq lists it as uncharacterized. NCBI's taxonomy places the organism in Eukaryota, Metazoa, Chordata, Testudines, Geoemydidae. The record is from RefSeq and is a predicted model, not a curated record. The transcript is spliced from 4 exons.